RNAcentral lists this small RNA (426 nucleotides) under Arabidopsis thaliana (thale cress). Its description in RNAcentral is "ATSL091280". Lineage: Eukaryota; Viridiplantae; Streptophyta; Magnoliopsida; Brassicales; Brassicaceae. The record is from RNAcentral.
AACUAAGGAAAGAUCAAGUAUAUGAAUUCAAAAGAUGGUGCGGUUUUACUUCAAGAUCAAUCGGUUAAGCACUAGACAACUAACAACAAGGGCAUUGAAACUAUCUAGUGAACAUGUAAAGUGAUGACAAAUGAUGAGAAAUGGUAUAAAACAGUGAUGAUAUGAUGCUAAAGUGAUGACAAAUGGAUGCUUAAAACAUGCAAAAUACACACUUAUCAACUCCCCCAAACUUAGUCUUUGCUUGCCCUCAAGCAAACAAUCAAGAACAAGCAGAAGGUGAGGUUUGAAAGCGGGGACUCAGAGCCAAAGCACCAGAUAGACCAGAUGAAAUCAAUGUCCAAGUUGAAAGUUCUAAGCUGGGAUAUGAUCGAAUUCUACUCAAAAACGUUAGCCAUGCCUUGUUAUUAAUCAAUCCGACUCUUAUGU